GAUGAACGCUGGCGGCGUGCCUAAUACAUGCAAGUCGAGCGAACGGACGAGAAGCUUGCUUCUCUGAUGUUAGCGGCGGACGGGUGAGUAACACGUGGAUAACCUACCUAUAAGACUGGGAUAACUUCGGGAAACCGGAGCUAAUACCGGAUGAUAUUUUGAACCGCAUGGUUCAAAAGUGAAAGACGGUCUUGCUGUCACUUAUAGAUGGAUCCGCGCUGCAUUAGCUAGUUGGUAAGGUAAUGGCUUACCAAGGCAACGAUGCAUAGCCGACCUGAGAGGGGGGUGGCCCACCCUGGAACUGAGACACGUUCCAAACCCCAAGGGGGGGCAGAAGGAGGGAAUUUUCCGCAAGGGGGGAAAGCCGAACGGAGCAACGCCGCGUGGGUAAUGAAGGUUUUCGGAUCGUAAAACUCUUUUUUUGGGAAAAAAAAUAUGUGAAGGUAACUUUGCCCCUCUGACCGGGACUAAACCAGAAAGCCACGGCAAACUACGU
RNAcentral lists this ribosomal RNA (496 nucleotides) under uncultured bacterium. RNAcentral's name for it is "partial 16S ribosomal RNA". It matches the Rfam family "Bacterial small subunit ribosomal RNA", at positions 28 to 506 of the family's 1533-position model. The record is from RNAcentral.